CAUUUACCUCAACUCUUCUCUCGUACAGCUCUCUGAAUGAUAGAAAGAAACAACCAAAGUUCUCGUAUUUGAUCAAGUUUUGUUUUGAGCUAUAUCAUGGCUGCUUGUGAAUUAUUAUUUUGCGUGUUUUAUUUAAAUCAGUGAUCUGCAGCCUAAUUAAAGAUUAAAUUAUUGAAGCACGCAUUUUUAAAUAAGUAAAACGUAAAAUAAAAGUUUUCUAAAGCCAAAAUAUGGAAUUGAAGAGGGUGAUAAAGUAAUACUUCAUCGCACUGUCAAUUCGAAGCACGCAAUAGAAACUACGCCAGCAAUGGUCAACAUCAAGGGCGAAACCAUUGAAUACGUAAAUAAUUGUUGAAUAUAAUAAUAUUAUCUGGCCUUAAAUUCUAAUUAAUUUUCCAUACAGAUAUUUUAAACCUCAUACGGCCCGUUAAAGGUACGCAACCUAAUUGGUGUCUGUUAUGGUAGCAGCAUAGAACUUUCGAAGCGAUGGAAUAUGUGCUGCAAGCAAUUCCAGAACUAUGGAUGCAAUCGCUGCUACAUCGAACACAAAUCAUUUACACACCAGAUAUUAGGUUUAAUGUCACUUUUUUACGUGCAAUUAAACCUUUUGGUCAACACAAGCACGUGAAGAAUUGGAACGACGUGGUUUGGGUGCUUUUGUUACGUUUAUCAUCGCGACGUGUGUUAACUGGGUUUUGCCAAUGAUCUAGAGGGCAAAGCAGCGGCAGUAUUUUUGAACUUACCGGCACCUCAGUUGGUCGUGCCAUUAGCAGCUAAAGCACAGAAAUUAAAGGGAGGACUUUUUUGAUUCAUUUUCACCAUGUAUUGAGGAAUCAUAACGUUGUUGUAUCGCUUUACAAGGACAUGGAUUCACCGAAAUUAGUUCAGUGGAAACACUACAGCAAGAGCAUGGAUGUUAAGACUAGAACGUUGCCCGUGCUAGAUUUAGAAUUCCUGAAACAUAAGAAACCCUCCUCCAAGAAAUUGGAUGAAUCUAGUACUAGUAAAACUAAUGAAAGAACAGAUCUUACAAAAACUCCUAUAUAAACCAAAAGAGUCCUCACAUAAUGUGCACAGCUUACACUUCCAGGCCGCACGGGGUAUUUGUAGGGAUGCAAACGAUGUAUCGAUGUUUCUGAAACAUCAAUGUUUUCGUCAAAAAGCAUCGAUGUUAGCCAUCGAUGUUGUGAUUCUAAAAAUAUCGAUACAUCGAUGUCACUUUCAACGAUGUUUUAUGUCGAUGUUUUUUUCAAAUUUUACUCCACAUCUUUGCAGCACUUUUUCUCGGUAUUAAUGCGAAAACAUCUGCUACGGAGAAUUCGUUGGUUGAAUGUGCACUUGAAUAAUAUGGAGAAUUCGUUGGUUGAAUGUGCACUUGAAUAAUACUGAGAAUUCGCUUAUGAAUUAAUGCGAAAUAAGUUUUACAAAAAAUCGAAAAUACAUUUUGUGUGACAGUCUAUUUCGUGCUAUGUGUGUUAGAAGUUGUUUUUGAGCGUUUAAUAUAAGUGUUGUUUCGAAUUCAUCUGUUAUCAAUCACAACUUUAUUACAGAUUUUCAAAAUGCUGCCUUCAAAAUUAAAAAGCAGGGUCUGGAGCUUCUUUAUAAGAAAUUCAGAUGCUUCAGAUGCUGAUAAUAAUUCAACCAUGAUGAAAUUAAAUAGAAGCUUGUUUGGCGAAAAAAAAUAAUACCCUGCUUCGCACACACGCUUAAUUUGGUUGUAACGCAAUCAAUAGAUAAGUCCACGGAAGUAUCAGCUUUGAUAACUAAGGUGCGCGACAUUGUUAAGUUUAUUAAAAGAAGUGUUAAUGCCAGUGAUCAAUUGCGGCAGAAACAAAUAGACACCGGGGCUUCUACAAGUAAUACCAAGAAAAUGAUUCUUGACGUAAGAACGCGAUGGAAUUCAUGUUUUUAUAUGCUAGAGAGAUUUGUCCAGUUAGCCCCUAUUUUAAGUGAAGUACUGCUCACUCGCCCAGAAGCACCCUCUAUGGUUAAUGCCUCCGAGCUGAACAAAAUUAAGGAGCUGAUUGAAUUAUUAAAGUGUUUUGAAAUUGUGACCAGGGAGAUUUCGGCUGAUACCUACGUUACCAUUAGCAAGGUUAUACCUUUGGUAAGCUGUUUAACUGAAGCUCUGACAAAAAUUUCAGCUCAAGAUGCUAUUGUAGGGGAGCUAAAA
This is a long non-coding RNA of Zeugodacus cucurbitae (melon fly), 2173 nucleotides long. RefSeq lists it as uncharacterized. The transcript has 4 exons. Lineage: Eukaryota; Metazoa; Arthropoda; Insecta; Diptera; Tephritidae. The record is from RefSeq and is a predicted model, not a curated record.